Long non-coding RNA from Pteropus alecto (black flying fox), 2341 nucleotides. RefSeq lists it as uncharacterized. The record is from RefSeq and is a predicted model, not a curated record. NCBI's taxonomy places the organism in Eukaryota, Metazoa, Chordata, Mammalia, Chiroptera, Pteropodidae. The transcript has 2 exons.
AAUAAGUUGGCCAAAGUUAUGGGGCGGGGUGGGGAAGUCAGCAUUAAAGGGCAAGGAGCACUCUCAUAAGCUUCUUGGGGCAUCUACAAACCGUGAAAGGUUUACAUCCCAAUCACACUGCCCUCCAGACCCUAACGUGAGGAAACAUCCUGAACUCUGUACAAAGCGUUCUGAAUAAACUAUUCACUGAGGAGACUGCCUAAAUGCCCAGCAAUGAGUUCAGAUAACUGACAUGAUUACAGACUAAUUACAUGUAAAGUGUUCAGGCUAAAUUAGGGGAGAAAAAAAGGCUCAGAAACAAAACAAUAUGUAUGAAAUAAUAUCAACCACUUGGUGGUCGCUUCUAGGAAAUAUAAGCUCUCUUCCCAAAAUUUCUACAAUGAUCAUACAUGUUCUGAUUAUAAAAGUAAAACAAUAAGGGACCAUGACAGAGAAACUUCCGUUGCUGAAGCGUGCCCCAGCAUCUAACAGGUCCCGCCACUCAAGGCAGGUGAGGAACCACCUUUCCCCUGCUUUACUGGGGGUGGGAGUAUCGCAGGGUAAAUAAAAGCUUUCGAAGGGUCUCCCACUGUUUGAGCAUCAGUUUUCUUCCACUCAUUUUUCUAGUUCUGCAUUUAACAUUUCUUGAGUGGCUACCGUAUACUGGACACUAUAUUAGGCUGAGUUUUCGGAGCAGUAUAUUAGGCUCGCAAUAACUCUCAAAUGUGGAACACUUUUUGCCUUGCGCAUUCCUAAAAGGACAGAACCACUAUCUGGGUACCCGAAGCCCGACGAGCACACAGUAGUGCGUGGCUGCUCCCAGGGGCACUCCUGGCUUCAGUGAGACCCACCAAGAGUGGGUGAAUCACAGAAGGGUAGGGCAGCAGAGGCCCCCAGGCCCUGCGCUGGGGACUGAGUCAUUCCAAAGCCAGAGCUGCCGGAAACACGCCCAGCGCGGCAGGAGGAGGAGUCCCCAGGGCGCCACCCGAACUGCACUUCCUUGUGGCCACCUGGGCCCCUCUGGACACGGGGCCGCACUGGUACACACCAGGGGAUGGGGUGGGGGGUCUCUGGCCCGGAGCCGCACCCUUUUCGACGAUACAACACGCGUCAUCUCUGGGGCCCCGCAGUGAUGGAGGCGGCCGGGGGUCUCCGGCCUAGACCCGCUCUUAGAAAGCCCACCCAAGCCAGCGCGGGUGUAUCACGCCGAUUACUGGGAAGAGAGUGGCGGCCAGCAACCCCGUGCUUUCUCCAAGGGGCCCUCCAUCUCCUUGCUCAGAUACUAUUUUGUGUAGUCGCGAGGCCUGGAAAUUCUGCAGCUAUUUUGCUUCCAUCCUGAGAUGAAGAACAAAGAGAGAAAACGAGGCAGAAAGCGGUAACUGCAGAGAAGUAGAGCUGGAACUGCUGGAUUAAGUCUCCCGAUGCCUGUCCCACAUCUGGAUGUUCAGUUAUGUGCACCGAUACAUUUUUGUUUGGCUUAAGCACAUUCAAAUUUGGUGUUCUUGUACUUAUAGCCAAAAAACAACCCAACUGAAAAAAAAUUCAUGAAUGUAUGAGCCACUUUUGUAAGCUUAUCAUUUGUUGAAUUCCGAAAGUUCAGCAUAAUGUGUUUAACUGAAUUAGAAAUUACCGCUAUUAUGAAAUUGUGAGGCAAGGAUUAGUAUUUAAAUUAAUGCAAUAUAAACAACUAUAGAUUUGCUUCGUUAGGCCAGAGAAGGAAGCAGUUUAUGAUUCUUGCCAGAUUCUUGCUUUUUUUGCAUGAAUGGCCCCGGAGAUGAAGCAGCCUCUCAGGAAGUCCCCUCUGAGGAAACAUAUUUAAAUUCCUGGAAAGGCCUACGGUGCAAACAUAAAUAGUAUUCGAGAUAACUGUACCCUCUCUUCUUCUUUCUCCAUGGGAUGGACAGCUGCUUCUUUGACCUGUCUAGCCACCCUCCCCACUUCUUUGGGUAAUAACGCCCUGCUGCUCCUUUGGAUAACACCCUUUCCUCCAUUCCCUGGAAUCUCAGAGGGACCAGCCAUCCAGGUACCUACCACACCUGCUCCCUACCACUAGGCCCAACGGUGUGCAUGCAACUUUAGGCUAAACUCUGUCACAAGAACUCAGCUCUCUAGGGGUCUGAUGCAAGAAGGAAAAUCACUGGUGUCAUUCCUAAUAGGGACUCUUUUCUGAGUCUUGAUUCCUCCCCACCCUGGCUUUGCUUAAGGUAGCCAGGGUGAAUUUCCCUUACGUGCUGCCAAAAAUCUUAGCUGAUACUCUCCACCUAAAAAGUCCUCAAACACAACCAAGCCUUUAGGAGUUACAUUUUUAAUUUUUACUUGGCAUGUGUUACUAUAAGUCUGACAUAAAUCUCUUUAUAAUUUC